GGCUUCAGCAGCACAUGUCUUCCUAAAAUUGGAAGGAUGCAGAGAAGAUUAAGAUGGUCCCGGUGUAAGAAUUACACAAAAAAUUCUAAAGCAUUCCAUAUUUUC
Molecule: small nuclear RNA, 105 nt
Organism: Peromyscus maniculatus bairdii (prairie deer mouse)
Lineage: Eukaryota; Metazoa; Chordata; Mammalia; Rodentia; Cricetidae
Source: Ensembl